This 801-nucleotide ribosomal RNA is filed under the name Frigoribacterium sp. B165F. RNAcentral's name for it is "bacterial SSU rRNA". It matches the Rfam family "Bacterial small subunit ribosomal RNA", at positions 62 to 874 of the family's 1533-position model. The record is from RNAcentral. Lineage: Bacteria; Bacillati; Actinomycetota; Actinomycetes; Micrococcales; Microbacteriaceae.
UCGAACGAUGAACUCCAGCUUGCUGGGGGRAUUAGUGGCGAACGGGUGAGUAACACGUGAGUAACCUGCCCUUGACUCUGGGAUAAGCGCUGGAAACGGCGUCUAAUACCGGAUACGAGCUUCAGCCGCAUGGCUAGGAGUUGGAAAGAAUUUUGGUCAAGGAUGGACUCGCGGCCUAUCAGCUAGUUGGUGAGGUAAUGGCUCACCAAGGCGACGACGGGUAGCCGGCCUGAGAGGGUGACCGGCCACACUGGGACUGAGACACGGCCCAGACUCCUACGGGAGGCAGCAGUGGGGAAUAUUGCACAAUGGGCGAAAGCCUGAUGCAGCAACGCCGCGUGAGGGACGACGGCCUUCGGGUUGUAAACCUCUUUUAGUAGGGAAGAAGCGAAAGUGACGGUACCUGCAGAAAAAGCACCGGCUAACUACGUGCCAGCAGCCGCGGUAAUACGUAGGGUGCAAGCGUUGUCCGGAAUUAUUGGGCGUAAAGAGCUCGUAGGCGGUUUGUCGCGUCUGCUGUGAAAUCUGGGGGCUCAACCCCCAGCCUGCAGUGGGUACGGGCAGACUAGAGUGCGGUAGGGGAGAUUGGAAUUCCUGGUGUAGCGGUGGAAUGCGCAGAUAUCAGGAGGAACACCGAUGGCGAAGGCAGAUCUCUGGGCCGUAACUGACGCUGAGGAGCGAAAGCAUGGGGAGCGAACAGGAUUAGAUACCCUGGUAGUCCAUGCCGUAAACGUUGGGAACUAGAUGUGGGGACCAUUCCACGGUCUCCGUGUCGCAGCUAACGCAUUAAGUUCCCCGCCU